UACGUAGGGGGCUAGCGUUGUCCGGAUUUAUUGGGCGUAAAGAGCGUGUAGGCGGCCAUACAGGUCCGUUGUGAAAACUGGAGGCUUAACCUCCAGACGUCGAUGGAAACCGUAUGGCUAGAGUCCGGAAGAGGAGAGUGGAAUUCCUGGUGGUAGCGGUGAAAUGCGCAGAUAUCAGGAAGAACACCCGUGGCGAAGGCGGCUCUCUGGGACGGUACUGACGCUGAGACGCGAAAGCGUGGGGAGCGAACAGG
RNAcentral lists this ribosomal RNA (254 nucleotides) under uncultured bacterium. RNAcentral describes it as "partial 16S ribosomal RNA". It matches the Rfam family "Bacterial small subunit ribosomal RNA", at positions 524 to 776 of the family's 1533-position model. The record is from RNAcentral.